This 396-nucleotide ribosomal RNA is filed under the name uncultured bacterium. Its description in RNAcentral is "partial 16S ribosomal RNA". It matches the Rfam family "Bacterial small subunit ribosomal RNA", at positions 523 to 918 of the family's 1533-position model. The record is from RNAcentral.
AUACGUAGGGAGCGAGCGUUGUCCGGAAUUACUGGGUGUAAAGGGAGCGUAGGCGGGAGUGUAAGUCAGAUGUGAAAUACAUGGGCUCAACCCAUGGGCUGCAUUUGAAACUGCAUUUCUUGAGUGAAGUAGAGGUAAGCGGAAUUCCUGGUGUAGCGGUGAAAUGCGUAGAUAUCAGGAGGAACACCGGUGGCGAAGGCGGCUUACUGGGCUUUUACUGACGCUGAGGCUCGAAAGCGUGGGGAGCAAACAGGAUUAGAUACCCUGGUAGUCUACGCUGUAAACGAUGAUUACUAGGUGUGGGGGGACUGACCCCUUCCGUGCCGCAGUUAACACAAUAAGUAUUCCACCUGGGGAGUACGAUCGCAAGAUUAAAACUCAAAUGAAUUGACGGGG